This 977-nucleotide ribosomal RNA is filed under the name uncultured bacterium. RNAcentral's name for it is "bacterial SSU rRNA". It matches the Rfam family "Bacterial small subunit ribosomal RNA", at positions 8 to 1002 of the family's 1533-position model. The record is from RNAcentral.
AGAGUUUGAUCAUGGCUCAGAACGAACGCUGGCGGCGUGCUUAACACAUGCAAGUCGAGUGCGCGGUUGUAGCAAUACAACUGGCGCACGGCGCACGGGUGCGUAACACGUGGGCAAUCUGCCCUCCGAUGGGGAAUAACCCCGCGAAAGCGGGGCUAAUUCCGCAUAACAUUCCCUGGACUCUGGUUCGGGGAUUCAAAGCAGCAAUGCGUCGGAGGAGGAGCCCGCGCCCGAUUAGCUAGUUGGUGAGGUAACGGCUCACCAAGGCAAUGAUCGGUAGCUGGUCUGAGAGGAUGGCCAGCCACACUGGAACUGAGACACGGUCCAGACUCCUACGGGAGGCAGCAGUGGGGAAUCUUGCGCAAUGGGCGAAAGCCUGACGCAGCGACGCCGCGUGGGGGAUGAAGCUUCUCGGAGUGUAAACCCCUUUCGACCGGGACGAAUGCCCGCAAGGGAGUGACGGUACCGGUAGAAGAAGCCCCGGCUAAUUACGUGCCAGCAGCCGCGGUAAGACGUAGGGGGCCAGCGUUGUUCGGAAUUACUGGGUGUAAAGGGUUCGUAGGCGGUGUGGCAAGUCGGGAGUGAAAUUUCUGGGCUUAACCCAGAGGCUGCUUCCGAAACUGCUGUGCUCGAGUGUGGGAGAGGCGCGUGGAAUUGCAGGUGUAGCGGUGAAAUGCGUAGAUAUCUGCAGGAACACCCGUGGCGAAAGCGGCGCGCUGGACCACUACUGACGCUGAGGAACGAAAGCUAGGGGAGCAAACAGGAUUAGAUACCCUGGUAGUCCUAGCCCUAAACGAUCAGGACUUGGGGUGCCACCCGUUCGGGUGUCGUCCCGGAGCUAACGCGUUAAGUCCUGCACCUGGGGAGUACGGUCGCAGACUGAACUCAAGGAUGACGGGGCCCGCACAGCGUGGACAUGUGGUCAUUCGACGCUACGCGAGGACCUUACCUGGGCUCGAAUGCUUCUGACCAGCUGU